GCCAGCCCGCUCAGAAACUUAAAUGAAUUGACGGGGGCCCGCACAAGCAGCGGAGCAUGUGGUUUAAUUCGAAGCAACGCGAAGAACCUUACCAAGACUUGACAUCCCCUGACAGCUGUUGAAAGGCAGUGUCUCUUCGGAGCAGGGAGACAGGUGGUGCAUGGUUGUCGUCAGCUCGUGUCGUGAGAUGUUGGGUUAAGUCCCGCAACGAGCGCAACCCUUAUCCUUAGUUACCAGCACGUAAAGGUGGGGACUCUAGGGAGACCGCCGGGGACGACUCGGAGGAAGGUGGGGACGACGUCAAAUCAUCAUGCCCCUUAUGUCUUGGGCUACACACGUGCUACAAUGGCCGCAACAGAGGGAAGCGAGAGCGCAAGCUGGAGCAAAACCCUAAAAAGCGGUCCCAGUUCGGAUUGUGGGCUGCAACCCGCCCACAUGAAGUCGGAGUUGCUAGUAAUCGCGAAUCAGCAUGUCGCGGUGAAUGCGUUCCCGGGCCUU
This 498-nucleotide ribosomal RNA is filed under the name uncultured Lachnospiraceae bacterium. Its description in RNAcentral is "bacterial SSU rRNA". It matches the Rfam family "Bacterial small subunit ribosomal RNA", at positions 903 to 1382 of the family's 1533-position model. The record is from RNAcentral. Lineage: Bacteria; Bacillati; Bacillota; Clostridia; Lachnospirales; Lachnospiraceae.